This is a long non-coding RNA of Oxyura jamaicensis (ruddy duck), 1191 nucleotides long. RefSeq lists it as uncharacterized. The record is from RefSeq and is a predicted model, not a curated record. Lineage: Eukaryota; Metazoa; Chordata; Aves; Anseriformes; Anatidae. The transcript has 2 exons.
UUUGUUUUUCAUUUCUGGCUCAACAGUUGCUUCAGUGAAGCGAGUCGAUCUAUUUUAGAACUUACCAAAGGAAUUGAAUGGAUCAGUGUAGAAAAGGCUGUAAUUCCUGGAACUCUGCAUAAGAUAGUCUUUGUGAUGUGUUUCAGGUUUUUCAGUUGCAAUAUUUUCUUUCCAUUGGCAGUGUAAGGAAUAAAGUUGUUAUUUAUCCUGGUCAUUUACAAAAGCUGUACAAAAUCCUAUUUCCUUGAGCAUAGGAAAGAAACAGGUAGCAGGGUGAUGGUUUCUUAGCUUAUAGCUGCCAUCUCCUUUCAGCCUGAACUUGAUCCCCCAAAAAAUAUUCAUCUGGCGGGGACAUUUUCUCACGGUGGCAUGUUGGAUGUUCCUGUUAGUUCUUCCUGCCCAGCGUAUGGCUAUUUGCACCCCCCCCCAGCUGUGGUAUGUCUGCUUGGAGUUUUGGGCUUUGUCUUUGCUUUCUGCUCAGAAGCGUAUCUUGAUAGUCUCAUUUUCUCUGGAAGCCCUUUUUACCACCCUCACAAUUCUUAAUGUACUUUUGUUGUCUCAACCUUUAUCUUUCCUUCCCAGUAAUCUUAUCCUAAAUUUUAUCUGCAAGCAUAUCAACAGUAUUGACUUGAUGAUUAAGAGGUGUUCUUAUGGCUUCGGAGAUGUCUGACUAGCGUCCAAAAAGAUGGUGCAUCAGUAAAAGUAGUCUGAUGGGUCAAUAAAAAAAAGGUUGUCAAAACCUCAAUCUUCACUGAAAAAGGCACGUUAGAGACAGGGCUGUAAUUCAAUUGGGAACGAGUUUCUCAACAUUGAGUGAUAGGGCCUUACUUAGGGGAUGGAAGAAUCACCAUUUCCAACAUCUGGUGCUCAUUUGUCAUGAAGGUCCCAUACUAUCUGCAUAGUUCAUUUUGGAGCUUUCCAAGCUUCUCUAGAGUACCAUUAGUUGAAAAGCUAACAUAAGUAAUUUAACUUUUUUUUUUUUUUUUUUUGCUUUAAGUUGUAUUCACAUCCGCGUUGGCUGUUCCGGAUUUAGACUGGACAGGGAAAAUACCAGAAUGGUUUGGCUGUCACUCGGAUUACCUAGCACAUAAUGAUAAAGCCAUAUGCCGUUCAGUUGUUUUGUUACCUUGAUUUUGUAAGCAUGUUUGAUGUCUUAAUCUUAUUCUUCACAAUCUCUCUGGCUCAAUAUAA